RNAcentral lists this ribosomal RNA (441 nucleotides) under uncultured bacterium. RNAcentral describes it as "partial 16S ribosomal RNA". It matches the Rfam family "Bacterial small subunit ribosomal RNA", at positions 338 to 795 of the family's 1533-position model. The record is from RNAcentral.
CCUACGGGUGGCAGCAGUGGGGAAUAUUGCACAAUGGGGGAAACCCUGAUGCAGCGACGCCGCGUGAGUGAAGAAGUAUUUCGGUAUGUAAAGCUCUAUCAGCAGGGAAGAAAAAAGACGGUACCUGACUAAGAAGCCCCUGCUAACUACGUGCCAGCAGCCGCGGUACUACGGAGGGGGCAAGCGUUAUCCGGGUUUACUGGGGGUAAAGGGAGCGUAGACGGCGCGGCAAGUCUGAAGUGAAAGGCAGGGGCUUAAACCCUGAACUGCUGUUGAAACUGCCAGGCUAGAGUGCUGGAGAGGUAAGUGGAAUGCGCAGUGUAGCGGUGAAAUGCGUAGAUAUUAGGAGGAACACCAGUGGCGAAGGCGGCUUACUGGAUAGUAACUGACGUUGAGGCUCGAAAGCGUGGGGAGCGAACAGGAUUAGAUACCCGUGUAGUC